GAUGAAGAACGUAGCGAAAUGCGAUACGUAAUGUGAAUUGCAGAAUUCAGUGAAUCAUCGAGUCUUUGAACGCACAUUGCGCCCCCUGGUAUUCCGGGGGGCAUGCCUGUCCGAGCGUCAUUACAACCCUCAGGCCCCCGGGCCUGGCGUUGGGGAUCGGCGGAGCCCCCCGUGGGCACACGCCGUCCCCCAAAUACAGUGGCGGUCCCGCCGCAGCUUCCAUCGCGUAGUAGCUAACACCUCGCGACUGGAGAGCGGCGCGGCCACGCCGUAAAACACCCAACUCUUCUGAAGUUGACCUCGAAUCAGGUAGGAAUACCCGCUGAACUUAAGCAUAUCAAUAAGCGGAGGA
Molecule: unclassified non-coding RNA, 352 nt
Filed under: soil metagenome
Description: partial contains 5.8S ribosomal RNA, internal transcribed spacer 2, and large subunit ribosomal RNA
Rfam family: 5.8S ribosomal RNA (bases 1-120)
Source: RNAcentral